CACCAUGCCUUUAAUAUCUAAACACAAUAUCUGUCCCUACUGCACCAGAACCAAAUUAGAUCCUUUUGCUUGUGACUCAGGGUUUGGAGACUACAAUGUGCUUCGCAGCAGUGUGGUUGUUGUUCAAAGGGAAGAGCUCCUAAUUUCAAGCACUGGUCAGGGAGGCAGGUAAACACUAAAUUGGUAGGUGAUUACUCUGAAGAAUACAUCUAUACCAUGAAGUUGCAGGGGAGCUUAGAUGCUUUCACAGCCAUGAGGACUCAACAUUCGUCAUCUGAAUGGAAAGACAUAAUCUCAAACUCCUUUUUGAAGCCAGGCAAUGUUAUCCUAGUCUAAAUUGAUCCUAACUAAGGAUAAUCAAAGGAUUUUGCAUUUUUCUCAUGAAAACCAUAUAUACUGUAAGGAAAAGAGAAAGGAGACCAAGAGUCUAAAGACCUGGUAGAAAAUAGUAAAAAGGGAGAGAGAACAAAGAUCCUGAAUGGAUGACUUAGAAGAGUUUGGAGAGAGGAGGUGGAGGAAGAUGGCAGAGGAGAUGCCUCCCUGAGUCAACUCUCCUGGUGGUUUCAGGUGAGAGUGGGCUUAUUGGAUCUCUUCCGUGUGGAGUCCCUGCGCAGAUAAGCAGUGCAGGGCAAGCAGCAAAGAGGUGAAUUGCUGGAUUGGGAGUGUAGCCCAGAACUACGGUGUCAGCCAGAAAAAACUCAGAGCAGCAGCUGACACAGCACCAUCUGCGACCUGCGGAGCCAGGUCCGUGGCUUGUGUCCUGAGAGACAGAAACCAAUCCCUCCCCCAUG
Long non-coding RNA from Otolemur garnettii (small-eared galago), 791 nucleotides. RefSeq lists it as uncharacterized. The record is from RefSeq and is a predicted model, not a curated record. The transcript is spliced from 4 exons. NCBI's taxonomy places the organism in Eukaryota, Metazoa, Chordata, Mammalia, Primates, Galagidae.